Molecule: long non-coding RNA, 336 nt
Organism: Clupea harengus (Atlantic herring)
Lineage: Eukaryota; Metazoa; Chordata; Actinopteri; Clupeiformes; Clupeidae
Exons: 3
Source: RefSeq, a predicted model, not a curated record
CAUCAUCGACUGUUCCACAGAGAUGGACAAAGGAGGGGUUUUUUUCGGGAAGAGGAAAGGAUCACCACGGUGCUCACCAUCUCCACCAUCAUCACUGGAGUGAACGCCUCAAUGCCUCGGGUCUCCUACAUCAAAGCUGUGGACAUUUACCUGUGGGUCAGCUUUGUCUUUGUGUUUCUGUCCGUGAUCGAGUACGCAGCUGUCAACUACCUGUCUACAGUGCAAGAACGUAAAGAGAGGAAACUGCGAGAGAAGCUUCCAUGUACAUGUGGCCUAGCCCACCCUGAUGAGAUGAUGAUGAGCAGCAGCUAUAGUGAUAUGGAUGUCAACACCACA